Long non-coding RNA from Equus quagga, 2227 nucleotides. RefSeq lists it as uncharacterized. Lineage: Eukaryota; Metazoa; Chordata; Mammalia; Perissodactyla; Equidae. The record is from RefSeq and is a predicted model, not a curated record. The transcript is spliced from 5 exons.
GCGUCGGGCCCUCGGAGGAAGCCCGCCUCGGAAGGAGUCUGGGCCAAAAAGGAGGCGGGGGAGAGGCGGACUGAGCGGGGCAAAACAACUUUGAUUUUUAGUUGUACUUAACUCGCUCUCCUCCCUUCGCUCCCCUUCCCCAAAACGACUUUCUCUUCCGGGGUCAGGCAGGACCGCCCCGAAGCGUACCUCGCGCGCCGUGGGCGCCUCGAGCCAGGGCGUUCGGCGGGGUUUGGAGGUGUCUGCACCGCCCUGGCCGCUGCUUCCUCGGCCACUUGCGCGCUCGCUGCACAGCAGCCCGAGCCGUGGGCGCGCCGCCCCCAGCACCUGCGGCGCCCAGUCCGGCCGUGACCCCCCGGCCCGCGGGCACCGCCUGCAGGCUGUGUGACCUGGAGCACAUCUUCAGGAAUCAUUCAUUGUGUGUGUGCGUGAUAAUAGGAAAUCCCUCUCCCCAUGCCACCAAAAGCCUAGGAGUCAGAGAGUCUGCGAGAUUCUCCUAGAUGUGGAUGCACCCUCUCAGGAGCCCAAACGCAGAAACGAGCUGGCAAAGAAACCCAUUUUGUGCCACUUUUAAUGGAAAACUGGUUCCUGACUGAGAGAUUGAGUCUAGAAUGCUUCGUUCCAGUUGAACACCCCAAAAGCAGCCUCUACUAGCUGUGCAGCAUUAGUAUCAGGACCUAUAGCCAACUUGUGGAGUUUCCUACGGAUGUCUGGAGCACUUACAGAUGUGAAACAGGGCUAUCCAUCCACAGGCACAAGACUCCUGGCUGGUUCACCAAAAUUGAUACCAAACCUCUCAAUCUCAAGUCCGUGUGCCCGAUGCGCAGCAAGCCAAACACUGAGACCUUGGUGCUUGAAGAUGGAGAAAGGUUUCUUCAAAUUGGCCAAAACGCACCCCUCAGGUACCCAGCUUCACUAUUAAAGGCUAAUGACCUUCUGGGAGGGGAAGGCCGCAAGCUGAGGAGAGCCCCUUUCUUCUACUGAAACAAGGUCAGAAGCCUGGCAAAAGCGGAAGCACACUUCAGCUCUGAGCAGCUAAGAAGCCCGCGGGUCUUUGAGCCAUUUUAUGAAGCAGUUUUCGGUCAAACCCUGGAGCUUUCCACAGAAGGGGAAGGCUGCAAGUUGCUUUACAGCCAACUGUAUUAUGUUAGGCAUUUGUUUCUCUGAUGAUGUUACUUAGUGCAAAAUAAAAAAGGCUGGUAAAACAUGCCAUCUUGUGCUGGUUAAGCCCUGAGCCAGUAAUGAGCGUAAAUCUACAGAAAUGUUUGUUAGGCCUUUUGGUUGCCCACAGGCUGAGUCAAGCUUCUGUGUCCACUCUCUGAUAAGCCUCUCUUACUCUUUUUAACUGUGCUCACAUGACAAUGGACCAUGCAUGGCAGGCAGCAGAGUGGUUGCAAGCUUGCUAAGGAAGGAAGCAGUUGUAGAGUGACACAGCUCUCCCACUCCCUUCCAUAGUGUGCCCCCAAAGCUGCAGUGCAGGGUUGGACCCACUGAUACACCAGAACGUUAGAAAUCUCAUCACUCCAGACGGGCAGGGCUCCUUGUGCUGGGAUGCAGUUAAUAAAUGGAAGAGUUGGGAUCCAAACAGGAGUCUGACUCCUUAGUCCCUCUAGUCAACUAUGACAUUAUAUUUCUAGUCCUUUUGUCCAGAAACACACGAUCUUGUUUCAUUCAUUUGAAUCUUCUGUUGUAUACCUCAAUGAAGUUUUAUUACUUUUUCAUAUGGAUCUAUGAUAUUGUGAUUUAUAAUAAGAUACAUAUUUGGUCUUCAUCCACUGUUCCUGGCACAGAGCUCCUAAACCCUUGGAAUUUCUUUAAGUGAUGAGAACUGUUAAGAUGUCUUUUGUUAGGUUAAUGAAUGACUUUUGGAAUGCACCUGAGGUUGGGGGCGCAUGGCUAGGAGAACCAAUCAUUUGAUUAGGGGAUUAGAACUUUAAGCCCCAUCCCCCAACCCCCUUCCUCCCCCCACCAGCUCCAGGGAGGGGAGAGGGGCUAGAGGUUGAAUCAAUGGUGAACGGCCAAUGAUUCAAUCAAUCAUGGCUAUGUAACGAAGCCUCCAUCACAACCCAAAAGGACAGGAUUCAGAGAGUUUCUAGGUUGGUGAAGACUUGGAGGUACUGGGAGAGCAGUAUGCUCAGAAAGCAUGGCAGCUCCGUGCCCUUUCCCCAUACGUUGCCCUGUGUGUCUCUUCCAUCUGUCUAUUCCUGAGAUAGAUCCUUUUAUAAUA